RNA transcript from Eriocheir sinensis (Chinese mitten crab), 1536 nucleotides. RefSeq lists it as uncharacterized. The record is from RefSeq and is a predicted model, not a curated record. NCBI's taxonomy places the organism in Eukaryota, Metazoa, Arthropoda, Malacostraca, Decapoda, Varunidae. The transcript is spliced from 5 exons.
AUGAUUAACCUGUCCACUGCAAUUGUCAGGGAUUUGUCCUUCUCUGGUAGCCUGGUAACAUACACUCUCAGGUCUUUCUCUGCCUCUGUGGUGGAUAGUGGAGUGUUUGCCAUGUGGUAUUGGUGUGCUGGAUAUCCCUUCACUGGUAGCCUGGUAACAUACACUCCCAGGUCUUUCUCUGCCUCUGUGGUGGAUAGUGAAGUGUUUCCCAUGUGGUAUUGGUGUGCUGGAUAUCCCUUCACUGGUAGCCUGGUAACAUACACUCCCAGGUCUUUCUCUGGCUCUGUGGUGGAUAGUGGAGUGUUUCCCAUGUGGUAUUGGUGUGCUGGAUAUCCCUUCACUGGUAGCCUGGUAACAUACACUCCCAGGUCUUUCUCUGCCUCUGUGGUGGAUAGUGGAGUGUUUCCCAUGUGGUAUUGGUGUGCUGGAUAUCCCUUCACUGGUAGCCUGGUAACAUACACUCCCAGGUCUUUCUCUGCCUCUGUGGUGGAUAGUGGAGUGUUUCCCAUGUGGUAUUGGUGUGCUGGAUAUCCCUUCACUGGUAGCCUGGUAACAUAUAGUCCCAUGUCUUUCUCUGCCUCUGUGGUGGAUAGUGGAGUGUUUCCCAUGUGGUAUUGGUGUGCUGGAUAUCCCUUCACUGGUAGCCUGGUAACAUACACUCCCAGGUCUUUCUCUGCCUCUGUGGUGGAUAGUGGAGUGUUUCCCAUGUGGUAUUGGUGUGCUGGAUAUCCCUUCACUGGUAGCCUGGUAACAUACACUCCCAGGUCUUUCUCUGCCUCUGUGGUGGAUAGUGGAGUGUUUCCCAUGUGGUAUUGGUGUGCUGGAUAUCCCUGCACUGGUAGCCUGGUAACAUAUACUCCCAGGUCUUUCUCUGCCUCUGUGGUGGAUAGUGGAGUGUUUCCCAUGUGGUAUUAGUGUGCUGGGUAUCCCUUCACUGAUAGUCUGGUAACAUAUACUCCCAGGUGUUUCUUUGGCUCUGUGGUGGAUAGUGGAGUGUUUCCCAUGUGGUAUUGGUGUGCUGGAUAUCCCUUCGCUGGUAGCCUGGUAACAUAUACUCCCAGGUCUUUCUCUGCCUCUGUGGUGGAUAGUGGACUAUUUCCCAUGUGGUAUUGGUGUGCUGGAUAUCCCUUCACUGGUAGCCUGAUAACAUACACUCCCAGGUCUUUCUCUGCCUCUGUGGUGGAUAGUGGAGUGUUUCCCAUGUGGUAUUGGUGUGCUGGAUAUCCCUUCACUGGUAGCCUGAUAACAUACACUCCCAGGUCUUUCUCUGCCUCUGUGGUGGAUAGUGGAGUGUUUCCCAUGUGGUAUUGGUGUGCUGGAUAUCCCUUCACUGGUAGCCUGGUAACAUACACUCCCAGGUCUUUCUCUGCCUCUGUGGUGGAUAGUGGAGUGUUUCUCAUGUGGUAUUGGUGUGCUGGAUAUCCCUUCACUGGUAGCCUGGUAACAUACACUCCCAGGUCUUUCUCUGCCUCUGUGGUGGAUAGUGGAGUGUUUCCCAUGUGGUAUUGGUGUGCUGGAUAUCCCUUCACUGGUAGC